CUGCUUUGUCCUAUCUGUUGACGACGGGCAUAAUUACGAUAGAUGACUACAACUCAGCAGAUCUGAAUAAUUGCCAGAGACAACUCAAAGCUGAGCAGUUCUGGUCAUCAGAGCUAUAUGAUCGUGUGGAGUCGUUUCAAAAACAGCUCAGCUCCUUGACUACAACAAAGAAGAGGCCUCGUUCAGAGAGUAAUGAUGAUAGCACUCCAACAACUAAAUGUGUGAAUAAAUCAGAGGAUGGCCUCAACGACACUCCGGGUUCGCUGCCGCCAAACAAAGAAACAUCAACCAAUGAAACAGAUCACAGCUCCAGCAAAGAAAUAAUAUCUCAGCCUGUUGCCCGCAGAGCUUUACUCUUUAAAGACUAAAUGCACGGAUCACAUGGUGCGUAGACAGGACUAAUGUUGCUCAAAUGUGAGCAUACGUGCACGUGUUCAAGGAGUUUUGCCCUCUGUCUAUGCCUCAAGUCUCAAUGAUGGCUCUCCAUAUUAUCGCUACCAUGUCUUAUUUGUUUUGUUUGCUCAGCAAAUGUUUUGUUGUACAAGAAUUAGACGACACUGGACCUGUAUAAUUAUAUCCUACUCAUGCAGUUUAUUAUGUAAGUUUCGAAUGAUGUUAUCUGUUUCUAUUAAUAUCAUAUCAUGUAU
Long non-coding RNA from Aegilops tauschii subsp. strangulata, 647 nucleotides. RefSeq lists it as uncharacterized. The record is from RefSeq and is a predicted model, not a curated record. Lineage: Eukaryota; Viridiplantae; Streptophyta; Magnoliopsida; Poales; Poaceae.